AGACCCGAAACCCGGUGAUCUAGCCAUGGGCAGGUUGAAGGUUGGGUAACACUAACUGGAGGACCGAACCGACUAAUGUUGAAAAAUUAGCGGAUGACUUGUGGCUGGGGGUGAAAGGCCAAUCAAACCGGGAGAUAGCUGGUUCUCCCCGAAAGCUAUUUAGGUAGCGCCUCGUGAAUUCAUCUCCGGGGGUAGAGCACUGUUUCGGCAAGGGGGUCAUCCCGACUUACCAACCCGAUGCAAACUGCGAAUACCGGAGAAUGUUAUCACGGGAGACACACGGCGGGUGCUAACGUCCGUCGUGAAGAGGGAAACAACCCAGACCGCCAGCUAAGGUCCCAAAGUCAUGGUUAAGUGGGAAACGAUGUGGGAAGGCCCAGACAGCCAGGAUGUUGGCUUAGAAGCAGCCAUCAUUUAAAGAAAGCGUAAUAGCUCACUGGUCGAGUCGGCCUGCGCGGAAGAUGUAACGGGGCUAAACCAUGCACCGAAGCUGCGGCAGCGACACUGUGUGUUGUUGGGUAGGGGAGCGUUCUGUAAGCCUGUGAAGGUGUGCUGUGAGGCAUGCUGGAGGUAUCAGAAGUGCGAAUGCUGACAUAAGUAACGAUAAAGCGGGUGAAAAGCCCGCUCGCCGGAAGACCAAGGGUUCCUGUCCAACGUUAAUCGGGGCAGGGUGAGUCGACCCCUAAGGCGAGGCCGAAAGGCGUAGUCGAUGGGAAACAGGUUAAUAUUCCUGUACUUGGUGUUACUGCGAAGGGGGGACGGAGAAGGCUAUGUUGGCCGGGCGACGGUUGUCCCGGUUUAAGCGUGUAGGCUGGUUUUCCAGGCAAAUCCGGAAAAUCAAGGCUGAGGCGUGAUGACGAGGCACUACGGUGCUGAAGCAACAAAUGCCCUGCUUCCAGGAAAAGCCUCUAAGCAUCAGGUAACAUCAAAUCGUACCCCAAACCGACACAGGUGGUCAGGUAGAGAAUACCAAGGCGCUUGAGAGAACUCGGGUGAAGGAACUAGGCAAAAUGGUGCCGUAACUUCGGGAGAAGGCACGCUGAUAUGUAGGUGAAGUCCCUCGCGGAUGGAGCUGAAAUCAGUCGAAGAUACCAGCUGGCUGCAACUGUUUAUUAAAAACACAGCACUGUGCAAACACGAAAGUGGACGUAUACGGUGUGACGCCUGCCCGGUGCCGGAAGGUUAAUUGAUGGGGUCAGCGCAAGCGAAGCUCUUGAUCGAAGCCCCGGUAAACGGCGGCCGUAACUAUAACGGUCCUAAGGUAGCGAAAUUCCUUGUCGGGUAAGUUCCGACCUGCACGAAUGGCGUAAUGAUGGCCAGGCUGUCUCCACCCGAGACUCAGUGAAAUUGAACUCGCUGUGAAGAUGCAGUGUACCCGCGGCAAGACGGAAAGACCCCGUGAACCUUUACUAUAGCUUGACACUGAACAUUGAGCCUUGAUGUGUAGGAUAGGUGGGAGGCUUUGAAGUGUGGACGCCAGUCUGCAUGGAGCCGACCUUGAAAUACCACCCUUUAAUGUUUGAUGUUCUAACGUGGACCCGUGAUCCGGGUUGCGGACAGUGUCUGGUGGGUAGUUUGACUGGGGCGGUCUCCUCCUAAAGAGUAACGGAGGAGCACGAAGGUUGGCUAAUCCUGGUCGGACAUCAGGAGGUUAGUGCAAUGGCAUAAGCCAGCUUGACUGCGAGCGUGACGGCGCGAGCAGGUGCGAAAGCAGGUCAUAGUGAUCCGGUGGUUCUGAAUGGAAGGGCCAUCGCUCAACGGAUAAAAGGUACUCCGGGGAUAACAGGCUGAUACCGCCCAAGAGUUCAUAUCGACGGCGGUGUUUGGCACCUCGAUGUCGGCUCAUCACAUCCUGGGGCUGAAGUAGGUCCCAAGGGUAUGGCUGUUCGCCAUUUAAAGUGGUACGCGAGCUGGGUUUAGAACGUCGUGAGACAGUUCGGUCCCUAUCUGCCGUGGGCGCUGGAGAACUGAGGGGGGCUGCUCCUAGUACGAGAGGACCGGAGUGGACGCAUCACUGGUGUUCGGGUUGUCAUGCCAAUGGCACUGCCCGGU
RNAcentral lists this ribosomal RNA (2052 nucleotides) under Escherichia coli. RNAcentral's name for it is "partial 23S ribosomal RNA". It matches the Rfam family "Bacterial large subunit ribosomal RNA", at positions 711 to 2746 of the family's 2925-position model. The record is from RNAcentral. Lineage: Bacteria; Pseudomonadati; Pseudomonadota; Gammaproteobacteria; Enterobacterales; Enterobacteriaceae.